This 279-nucleotide long non-coding RNA is filed under the name Ananas comosus (pineapple). RNAcentral's name for it is "long non-coding RNA (ACOM_LNC028999)". The record is from RNAcentral. Lineage: Eukaryota; Viridiplantae; Streptophyta; Magnoliopsida; Poales; Bromeliaceae.
AUCGAUUGUAAGAAUCGGACUGUCACCUUUAGAGAGCCGGGACAGGAGGAGGUUGUGUUUAGGGGAUGUCAGAGUUUGCUGUUUGCGAUGAUGAUCAGUUCGUCUCCAGCUAGAUAGUUGAUCAGCAGGGGUUGUGUAGCCUAUUUGACUAGUGUUGUGUUGAGGGGGGUUGAUGAUACCCCUAGAAUUGAGGAUAUCCCGGUAGUAUGGGAGUUUCGUGACGUGUUUUCAGCGGAGCUACUAGGUAUGCUAUCUGAUAGAGAGAUUGAGUUUGUGGUA